CUACGGGACGCUCCAGUGGGGAAUCUUGCACAAUGGGGGAAACCCUGAUGCAGCGACGCCGCGUGAGCGAUGAAGCCCUUCGGGGUGUAAAGCUCUUUCGGCAGGAACGAUAAUGACGGUACCUGCGGAAGAAGCUGCGGCUAACUACGUGCCAGCAGCCGCGGUAAUACGUAAGCAGCGAGCGUUGUUCGGAGUUACUGGGCGUAAAGAGUGUGUAGGCGGUUCCCUAAGUUUGGUGUGAAAUCUCCCGGCUCAACUGGGAGGGUGCGCCGAAAACUGGGGGGCUUGAGCGCGGGAGAGGAAAGCGGAAUUCCUGGUGUAGCGGUGAAAUGCGUAGAUAUCAGGAGGAACACCGGCGGUGUAGACGGCUUUCUGGACCGUUGAUGACGCUGAGACACGAAAGCGUGGGGAGCAAACAGGAUUAGAUACCCUGGUAGUC
Molecule: ribosomal RNA, 439 nt
Filed under: uncultured bacterium
Lineage: Bacteria
Description: partial 16S ribosomal RNA
Rfam family: Bacterial small subunit ribosomal RNA
Source: RNAcentral